UUUGUCUUCAAAAGCUGGGAUCUUUGGGUUUAUCGUAUACUGUCUUGCUGAGAUCGCUUUCCCCCAGUCUAUUCCACUGAUCUUCCUUUCUGUUUCUUAGCCAGUACCAAAUUGUUUUGAUGACUGCUGCUUUGUAAUAUAGUUUUAGGUCAGGGACUGCAAGGCCCCCAUCAUAUGUGUUUUUUUUCAUUAUUUCCCUGGAUAUCCUUGAUCUUUUGUUCUUCCAAAUGAACUUUGUUAUGGUUUUUUCUAAAUCAGUGAAGAAGUAUUUUGGUAGUUCAAUGGGUAUGGCACUAAAUAGAUAAAUAAGUUUGGGUAGGAUGGUCAUUUUUAUUAUAUUGGCUCGUCCUAUCCAUGAGCAGUUAAUGUUUUUCCAUUUGUUCAAGUCUAGUUUUAGUUGUGUGGCGAGUGUUUUGUAGUUGUGUUCAUAUAGUUCCUGUGUUUGUCUUGGGAGGUAGAUUCCUAGGUAUUUUAUUUUGUCUAAGGUGAUUUUGAAUGGGAUUUCUCUUUCUAGUUCUUGCUGCUGAGCUGUGUUGGAGAUAUAUAGAAAAGCUGAUGAUUUAUGUGGGUUUAUUUUGUAUCCUGCAACUUUGCUAAAGUUGUUGAUUAUUUCAAUUAGCUUUUUGGUUGAAUCUCUAGGAUUCUUUAAGUAGACCAUCAUGUCAUCCGCAAAGAGUGAUAACUUGGUCUCCUCCUUGCCUAUUUUGAUGCCUUCAAUUCCUUUAUCUUCUCUAAUUGCUACUGCUAGUGUUUCUAGUACAAUGUCAAAUAGUAGAGGUGAUAAUGGGCAUCCUUGUUUCACUCCUGAUCUUAUUGGGAAUGCAUCUAGUUUAUCCCCAUUGCAGAUAUUAGUUGAUGGUUUUAGAUAUAUAUACUGUUUAUUAUUUUUAGGAACGACCCUUCUAUUCCUAUGCUUUCUAGUGUUUUUAAUAGGAAUGGGUGUUGUAUUUUAUCAAAGGCUUUUUCUGCUUCUAUUGAGAUAAUCAUGUGGUUCUUGUUGGUUUGCUUGUUGAUGUGGUCAAUUAUGUGGAUGGUUUUCCUAAUAUUGAACCACAGUCCAGCAGUCAAUGAGGAUGGAUAGGGAGCCUGGGCUUCCCUGCGUUCUGGAGACUUUUGAUGGGAUUGAGUUCAGCUUAGUUGGGCUGGGUUUACUCUGAGUUUUAAACUUCCUAGAUGGCUAGAGCAAAUAUGGAGGAUCUCCAAAGCUCUGGCCAGGCUGCCAAGUCUAUGCUCCUUCUAGGCUGCCAUCUUGACCUUACCUCUAGAUUUCUGUUUUUUUCAGAAGACCCUGCUCUCUAAGGGGGGAGGUAUAUGGCCUCCCUGGGCUCUGAGGGCUCCUGAUGGGAUUAGGUUCACCUGAUUUGGGCGGAAUGAGCCCUGAAGCAAAAAACCUAUUCCUCCACAAUCUGUGUUGAAUGCCUGGAGACCAGCAGGGGUUGUUUUCAAGUAAGCCCUUCACAGGAACUGAGGUUUUUGUUCUUUCAGAAGCUCUGAGGGCUCCUGAUGGGAUUAGGUUCAGGUGGUGUGGGCCGAAUGAUCCCCAAGCCAAAAAAAAGGAAGAAAAAAAAACAACCUCCUCCUCCACAGUCUGUGUUGAAUGCCUGGAGACAGGCCCAGGUUACUUUCAAGGCAAGCUCUUCGGAGCAACCUCUUUGCCAGC
RNAcentral lists this long non-coding RNA (1660 nucleotides) under Monodelphis domestica (gray short-tailed opossum). Its description in RNAcentral is "lncRNA (ENSMODG00000045747.1)". The record is from RNAcentral. Lineage: Eukaryota; Metazoa; Chordata; Mammalia; Didelphimorphia; Didelphidae.